Molecule: ribosomal RNA, 536 nt
Filed under: uncultured Achromobacter sp.
Lineage: Bacteria; Pseudomonadati; Pseudomonadota; Betaproteobacteria; Burkholderiales; Alcaligenaceae
Description: bacterial SSU rRNA
Rfam family: Bacterial small subunit ribosomal RNA
Source: RNAcentral
ACAGUUUGAUCCUGGCUCAGAUUGAACGCUAGCGGGAUGCCUUACACAUGCAAGUCGAACGGCAGCACGGACUUCGGUCUGGUGGCGAGUGGCGAACGGGUGAGUAAUGUAUCGGAACGUGCCCAGUAGCGGGGGAUAACUACGCGAAAGCGUAGCUAAUACCGCAUACGCCCUACGGGGGAAAGCAGGGGAUCGCAAGACCUUGCACUAUUGGAGCGGCCGAUAUCGGAUUAGCUAGUUGGUGGGGUAACGGCUCACCAAGGCGACGAUCCGUAGCUGGUUUGAGAGGACGACCAGCCACACUGGGACUGAGACACGGCCCAGACUCCUACGGGAGGCAGCAGUGGGGAAUUUUGGACAAUGGGGGAAACCCUGAUCCAGCCAUCCCGCGUGUGCGAUGAAGGCCUUCGGGUUGUAAAGCACUUUUGGCAGGAAAGAAACGUCAUGGGUUAAUACCCCGUGAGACUGACGGUACCUGCAGAAUAAGCACCGGCUAACUACGUGCCAGCAGCCGCGGUAAUACGUAGGGUGCAAGC